Molecule: ribosomal RNA, 468 nt
Filed under: uncultured bacterium
Lineage: Bacteria
Description: partial 16S ribosomal RNA
Rfam family: Bacterial small subunit ribosomal RNA
Source: RNAcentral
GACGAACGCUGGCGGCGUGCUUAACACAUGCCAGUCGAACGGAAAGGCCCUGCUUUUGUGGGGUGCUCGAGUGGCGAACGGGUGAGUAACACGUGAGUAACCUGCCCUUGACUUUGGGAUAACUUCAGGAAACUGGGGCUAAUACCGGAUAGGAGCUCCUGCUGCAUGGUGGGGGGUGGAAAGUUUCGGCGGUUGGGGAUGGACGCGCGGCUUAUCAGCUUGUUGGUGGGGUAGUGGCUUACCAAGGCUUUGACGGGUAGCCGGCCUGAGAGGGUGACCGGCCACAUUGGGACUGAGAUAGGGCCCAGAGUCCUACGGGAGGCAGCAGUGGGGAAUAUUGCACAAUGGGCGGAAGCCUGAUGCAGCAACGCCGCGGGCGGGAUGACGGCCUUCGGGUUGUAAACCGCUUUCGCCUGUGACGAAGCGUGAGUGACGGUAAUGGGUAAAGAAGCACCGGCUAACUACGUG